RNAcentral lists this ribosomal RNA (510 nucleotides) under uncultured Corynebacterium sp. Its description in RNAcentral is "bacterial SSU rRNA". It matches the Rfam family "Bacterial small subunit ribosomal RNA", at positions 262 to 776 of the family's 1533-position model. The record is from RNAcentral. Lineage: Bacteria; Bacillati; Actinomycetota; Actinomycetes; Mycobacteriales; Corynebacteriaceae.
GGCCUAGCAAGGCGUGGACAAGUAAGGGGCCUGAGAAGGGUGGACGGCCACAUGGGACUGAGAUACAGCCCAGACUCCUACGGGAGGCAGCAGGGGGGAAUAUUGCACAAUGGGCGCAAAGCCUGAUGCAGCGACGCCGCGUGGGGGAUGACGGCCUUCGGGUUGUAAACUCCUUUCAGCCAUGACGAAGCCUCUUUUGGGGUGACGGUAGUGGUAGAAGAAGCACCGGCUAACUACGUGCCAGCAGCCGCGGUAAUACGUAGGGUGCGAGCGUUGUCCGGAAUUACUGGGCGUAAAGAGCUCGUAGGUGGUCUGUCGCGUCAUUUGUGAAAGCCCGGGGCUUAACUCCGGGUUGGCGGGUGAUACGGGCAUGACUGGAGUACUGUAGGGGAGACUGGAAUUCCUGGUGUAGCGGUGAAAUGCGCAGAUAUCAGGAGGAACACCGGUGGCGAAGGCGGGUCUCUGGGCAGUAACUGACGCUGAGGAGCGAAAGCAUGGGUAGCGAACAGG